UCUCUUCACUUUGCAUAAAAUAUAGAGUGAAGUGAAGCCGAGAAAUUUGAUAAUGCUAAGCACUUGUAUAGUGGCAACUCUUGCCGAUCGCAUUUUGAGCGGAAAUCGCAGGAAUAAAU
This is a non-coding RNA of Caenorhabditis elegans, 119 nucleotides long. The record is from Ensembl. NCBI's taxonomy places the organism in Eukaryota, Metazoa, Nematoda, Chromadorea, Rhabditida, Rhabditidae.